RNAcentral lists this ribosomal RNA (498 nucleotides) under Triticum aestivum (bread wheat). Its description in RNAcentral is "partial small subunit ribosomal RNA". The record is from RNAcentral. Lineage: Eukaryota; Viridiplantae; Streptophyta; Magnoliopsida; Poales; Poaceae.
AUGGUGAACAAGCUGCUACCUGCCAUCAAGGCUUUGUGGCCGGCUUCGGAACGCGAACGCAUAAUAUACAUUCCGCAAGAUAAUGCAAAGACCCAUAUUGCUGUGAAUGACAGUGUGUUUUGUGCAGCGGCACAGGCGGAUGGAUGGGAUAUUAGGCUUACAUGUCAGCCGCCGAACUCACCUGAUUUGAACAUUCUGGACUUAGGAUUCUUUGCUGCACUUCAGGCUCUUUUUGAGAAGAUGUCCCCUGGUAAAAUUGGUGAUAUUGUUGCAAAGGUGCAAAAAGCAUAUGACACCUACCCGGCUGAGAGAAGCAACCGUAUUUUUCUUACCCUUCAGUCAUGCAUGUGCGAGGUACUGAAGCAGAAAGGAGGUAACCGGUACAAGGUUCCGCACAUGAGGAAGUCAUUUCUGGCGGCACUCGAAAUGCUUCCGGACGUAGUACCCUGCGAUGCUGAUAUUGUAAUUGCUGCUAUUGAAGCCCUUCCAGAUGCUUGA